Non-coding RNA from Oryctolagus cuniculus (rabbit), 974 nucleotides. The record is from RefSeq and is a predicted model, not a curated record. NCBI's taxonomy places the organism in Eukaryota, Metazoa, Chordata, Mammalia, Lagomorpha, Leporidae.
UUAAACACCCUUGGGAUUCCCAAAGGGGUAAGUGUCUUUUCAUGGUAAUGAGAUGACUGGCAACUGCGGAAUGCUGGGCAUGCUCAUGACAGGGGCUAGUUGCCAAGGGCACUAACCAUGUGAUUACAGGAUGGGAAUUUUCAGUCCACCUCCAACCUCCAGGGAAAGAAGAGGCAGAACGUUGAGUUUAUAACCAAUGCCAAUUAUGUAAUCAAUCAUGCCCCUGGAAUUAAGACAGUAUCCAUAAAAAAAUCAAAAGGAUAGAGUUCAUUCAAACUGCUCUGUUGCUUAAUAUGGAAGAGAUUGAAACUUAUUAUGGUACAGAACCUGCCAACAAACAGAUGAAGACACCUGUCCUGAUCUGCAUGUGGAGUCAUAAGCAGUGAUUUUCUGACUUGGCAGCGAUCCUUCAAGUUGACAUUUCCAGCACCACCUAGAGGACCAGGAAAUUCCAUCAGGCUGGCAGCGCCAGAGGUGGGCCUGAUCAAGUCCCUCUUGGCAAAUUUUUAUUCAAGAAAUAAGGGAAAAUGGAGGACCCUGGGCAUAAGUCCCAAAAUACUAUAGAGAAUUUUUUGGAAGUAAUGCUGGUUUCCAAAUAUACACAGUUUUCAAGCUUUGAUUUAUUUGGACCUAGAAGAAAAUUGAAAGAAACGAAGCAAUCCAAUAAGGACAGUCUUACUUUACAACUACACUACCUACACAGAAAAAAGAGGGGGCUUGAGGAAAUGAAUUCCAUGAUCCAAGCCCCUCCCCUCUAGGAACACUGGUUUCCUUCAUUUUAUGGGUAUUUCAAGUGGAAGAUUUUGAGCCUAAACAAUGAGAUCCCAAGAUAACUUCUACUUUUCCUCCUAUUCAUGACUGCAAAGCCUUCCUCUCCCUCCCUCCUUUUCUUCCUUCCUUCCUUCCUUCCUUCCUUCCUUCCUUCCUUCCUUCCUUCCUUCCUCCCUCCCUCCUUCCCUCCCUCCCUCACUCCC